GGAAGGAUCAUUAACACAAUAUCCAAAAACCUUGUGUGCACUGUACUGUUUUUUUACGUUUACUCGAAUUAACAAGUCCUGCUCUGCAGGAUACAAACUAAUCAAAACAACUGCUAGCAACGGAUGUCUUGGUUCUCGCAACGAUGAAGAACGCAGCAAAUUGCGAUAAGUAAUGUGAAUCGUAAGAUUCAGUGAAUCAUCAAAUCUUUGAACGCAAACGGCGCUCCUUGGUACUCCGGGGAGCAUACCUGUUUGAGCAUCAAUAUUAAUUUCAUAUCCUUUUGGGUAUGGUGAAUGAGCGUCAUGCGUUAGCAUGUUGCUUUAAAUGCAUUGCUGAGUCUACCAACCAAUGGUGAGGACCUAGUCCAGCUAUUGGAUCUGGUAACGCUCUUAAACAACAAACUUGAUCUCAAAUCAGGUAAGAUUACCCGCUGAAUUGAAGCAUCUAAUUAAGCGGAGGAAAAGAAACUAACAAGGAUUCCCUCAGUAAUGGCGAAUGAACAGGGAAGAGCUCAAACUUAAAAUCUGGGAGGUUUCCUCCCCGAAUUGUAGUCUAAUGAAGCGUUACCGGAGGCUGUCUUACGUCCAAGUCCUUUGGAAAGGGGCAUCAGAGAGGGUGACAAUCCCGUAUCUGGCGUGAGAACGGUUUCCAUACGGAGCGCUCUCCACGAGUCGAGUUGUUUGGGAAUGCAGCUCUAAAUGGGUGGUAAAUUCCAUCUAAAGCUAAAUACCGGCGAGAGACCGAUAGCGAACAAGUACCGUGAGGGAAAGAUGAAAAGAACUUUGAAAAGAGAGUUAAAAGUGCCCGAAAUUGCUAGCAUGGAAUCGAUUGAAACUGGUGAUCUGUGGGAGAGAUCUGGUGGUGACUUCCGCAAGGAUUUGCCGCUUACCUCUCUUCCAUAGAAGUCAACUCCCGUUACCGAUCCAGUCAUCGACCGCGGGGAAGGUAGGUAGGUGCUCUCGGGUAUCUGCUGUUAUAGCUCCGUGGUUGUGCUGGGAAGGAGACGAGGAUGUCGGUGUAACAUCGGUGUCAGGUGCUGUGGUGCACAUUACGUGGGACUGCUUGCAGUGUCAUGUAGUGUGUGCUUUACCACUUGGCUCAGAUGCGCGCUGCUGUUGACGUAACGGUUUUAAACGUCCCGUCUUGAAACACGGACCAAGGAGUCUAACAUAUAUGCGAGUAUUGUGGUGGCAAACCAACAAUGCGCAAUGAAAGUAAAGGCCGCAAGGCUGAGGUGUGAGCCCGCAAGGGUGCAACAUCGACCGAUCUGGAGGUUUUCUGAAAGAUUUGAGUAAGAGCAUAUACGUUGGGACCCGAAAGAUGGUGAACUAUGCCUGAAUAGGACGAAGCCAGAGGAAACUCUGGUGGAGGUCCGAAGCGGUUUUGACGUGCAAAUCAAUCGUCAAAUUUGGGUAUAGGGGCGAAAGACUAAUCGAACCAUCUAGUAGCUGGUUCCCUC
This 1460-nucleotide unclassified non-coding RNA is filed under the name uncultured fungus. Its description in RNAcentral is "sequence contains 18S rRNA gene, ITS1, 5.8S rRNA gene, ITS2, 28S rRNA gene". The stretch from base 405 to 1460 matches the Rfam family "Eukaryotic large subunit ribosomal RNA", at positions 1 to 961 of the family's 3401-position model. Lineage: Eukaryota; Fungi. The record is from RNAcentral.